Molecule: ribosomal RNA, 253 nt
Filed under: uncultured bacterium
Lineage: Bacteria
Description: partial 16S ribosomal RNA
Rfam family: Bacterial small subunit ribosomal RNA
Source: RNAcentral
UACGUAGGGUGCGAGCGUUAAUCGGAAUUACUGGGCGUAAAGCGUGCGCAGGCGGUUUUGUAAGCCAGAUGUGAAAUCCCCGGGCUCAACCUGGGAAUGGCAUUUGGGACUGCAAGGCUGGAGUGUGGCAGAGGAGACUGGAAUUCCUGGUGUAGCAGUGAAAUGCGUAGAUAUCAGGAGGAACACCUGUGGUGUAGACAGCUUACUGGACCACUUCUGACGCUGAGACACGAAAGCGUGGGUAGCAAACAGG